GAUGAAGAACGUAGCGAAAUGCGAUAAGUAAUGUGAAUUGCAGAAUUCACUGAAUCAUCGAAUCUUUGAACGCACAUUGCGCCCCCUGGUAUUCCGGGGGGCAUGCCUGUUCGAGCGUCAUUUCACCACUCAAGCCUCGCUUGGUAUUGGGCAACGCGGUCCGCCGCGUGCCUCAAAUCGACCGGCUGGGUCUUCUGUCCCCUAAGCGUUGUGGAAACUAUUCGCUAAAGGGUGUUCGGGAGGCUACGCCGUAAAACAACCCCAUUUCUAAGGUUGACCUCGGAUCAGGUAGGGAUACCCGCUGAACUUAAGCAUAUCAAUAAGCGGAGGA
RNAcentral lists this unclassified non-coding RNA (331 nucleotides) under soil metagenome. RNAcentral's name for it is "partial contains 5.8S ribosomal RNA, internal transcribed spacer 2, and large subunit ribosomal RNA". The stretch from base 1 to 120 matches the Rfam family "5.8S ribosomal RNA", at positions 35 to 154 of the family's 154-position model. The record is from RNAcentral.